This 87-nucleotide transfer RNA is filed under the name Verrucomicrobiota bacterium. RNAcentral describes it as "Verrucomicrobia bacterium tRNA-Leu". It matches the Rfam family "tRNA". Rfam says of the family: Transfer RNA (tRNA) molecules are approximately 80 nucleotides in length. The record is from RNAcentral. Lineage: Bacteria; Pseudomonadati; Verrucomicrobiota.
GCCGGAGUGGCGGAAUGGCAGACGCACUGGACUCAAAAUCCAGCGCCCUUCAAAGGCGUGUGGGUUCAACUCCCACCUCCGGCACCA